GGUUAAGCGACUAAGCGUACACGGUGGAUGCCCUGGCAGUCAGAGGCGAUGAAGGRCGUGCUAAUCUGCGAUAAGCGCCGGUAAGGUGAUAUGAACCGUUAUAACCGGCGAUWUCCGAAUGGGGAAACCCAGUGUGAUUCGUCACACUAUCAUUAACUGAAUCCAUAGGUUAAUGAGGCGAACCGGGGGAACUGAAACAUCUAAGUACCCCGAGGAAAAGAAAUCAACCGAGAUUCCCCCAGUAGCGGCGAGCGAACGGGGAGGAGCCCAGAGCCUGAAUCAGCAUGUGUGUUAGUGGAAGCGUCUGGAAAGGCGCGCGAUACAGGGUGACAGCCCCGUACACAAAAG
RNAcentral lists this ribosomal RNA (348 nucleotides) under Salmonella enterica. RNAcentral describes it as "partial 23S ribosomal RNA". The record is from RNAcentral. Lineage: Bacteria; Pseudomonadati; Pseudomonadota; Gammaproteobacteria; Enterobacterales; Enterobacteriaceae.